This 1284-nucleotide ribosomal RNA is filed under the name uncultured fungus. RNAcentral describes it as "eukaryotic LSU rRNA". The stretch from base 614 to 1284 matches the Rfam family "Eukaryotic large subunit ribosomal RNA", at positions 1 to 649 of the family's 3401-position model. The record is from RNAcentral. Lineage: Eukaryota; Fungi.
AAGUCGUAACAAGGUUUUCGUAGGUGAACCUGCGGAAGGAUCAUUAGUGAAACAUAAGAGUGCUCUUCAUUGAGGCUCGUUUUAACUAUCCAUUACACUUUGUGCAUUUGAAAAACCUUCAUCUCUCAAUUUUGAAGCCUCCGGGUUACAAAAACGAGUUUUGAUUGUAUUAUAUUAUAACCCCUUUGAAUAUUUUGACUUGAUGAUGAUGUAUAAACCUUGAAAUGAAAGAAACAACUUUCAGCAACGGAUUUCUUGGCUCUCGCAUCGAUGAAGAACGCAGCGAAAUGCGAUACGUAAUGUGAAUUGCAGAACUCAGUGAAUCAUCGAAUUUUUGAACGCACCUUGCGCUCUCUAGUUAUUCUGGAGAGCAUGCUUGUUUGAGUGUCGCGAACCUCUCAACCCCGCCAAAGGCUUAACUGACUUUGGUUGUUUGGGCUUGGAUCAUGGUCUCUUGUCGGUACUUGUUACCGACUGGACUGAAAUACAACAAGUUGAUAUAACCUAUUGCGGCUUGACCUGAUGUUGUAAUUUACUCAUCGGAUACGCAAAAGUGUUGAAACGACUUUAACAGAAACCCCUUUAUAAGGCAGACUUCGGUCUCUUUAUUUUAUGACCUCAAAUCAAGUAGGACUACCCGCUGAACUUAAGCAUAUCAAUAAGCGGAGGAAAAGAAACUAACAAGGAUUCCCCUAGUAACGGCGAGUGAAGUGGGAAAAGCUCAACUUUGUAAUCUGGCUGUCUUUGGCAGUCCGAGUUGUAGUCUAGAGAAGUGUUAUCCGCGCAGCCCCUUAUAGAUUUCGGUUGGAAUGCCAAGUCAAAGAGGGUGAGAAUCCCGUAUUUGAUAAGGUGGGCUUGUGCAUUGUGAUACAUUUUCAAAGAGUCGAGUUGUUUGGGAAUGCAGCUCAAAGUGGGUGGUAAAUUCCAUCUAAAGCUAAAUAUUGGCGAGAGACCGAUAGCGAACAAGUACCGUGAGGGAAAGAUGAAAAGCACUUUGGAAAGAGAAUGAAAUAGUACAUGAAAUUGCUGAAAGGGAAACGAUUGAAGUUAGACUUGCGCGGUUGGUAUUCAACCUUGGCUUCGGUCUUGGUGCAUUUGCCUUCCAUUGCAGGCCAGCAUCAGUUUACUUUGCUGUAAAAGGGUUUGAGGAAUGUAGCUUCUUCGGGAGUGUUAUAGCCUCUUUCUGGAUGCAGAAUCGUAGACUGAGGAACGCAGCGCGCCUUUAUUGGCAAAGGUUUUAACCUUCGAGCGCUUAGGAUGCUGGUAGAAUAGCUUUAAACGACC